Molecule: ribosomal RNA, 450 nt
Filed under: Triticum aestivum (bread wheat)
Lineage: Eukaryota; Viridiplantae; Streptophyta; Magnoliopsida; Poales; Poaceae
Description: partial small subunit ribosomal RNA
Source: RNAcentral
AUGCCAAUGUCGUCGUCGUUUCGCUUGCGCUGGAACAGCAAAGGGAAGGCCAUGGACGACGCCGCUCCAGCCCUUCUCCGACGCCAUCAAGCAGUAGCAGCAACUCGAUGCAGGGACGAGGGAGAGGAGGAGUCCUGCUUCCCCGGCGUGCAUCCUCUCUCUCUCGGAACGACACCCAACCUCAAGCGAGAGCAGGCAUCCUCCGUGGAUGAUGACGACAACCAGGGCAUCCACCGCCACGACGACACCCCGCACAUGGUCCAACUCGGCUACAACCUCCUCUACCGCACGACUGCGGCCGCGGUCGUGUUCGGCAUCGACUACAAUCUCCUCUCCGGAUCUUUGGUUCAUUAUACUGACUGCAUGCCACCUCUGUCAUCGCUGCCCCGUCUCCCACACCAUCGGCACCGCCCCUCCGCCUUCUCCUUUGAUGCUGUAGUGGAUUCUUAG